Molecule: ribosomal RNA, 254 nt
Filed under: uncultured bacterium
Lineage: Bacteria
Description: partial 16S ribosomal RNA
Rfam family: Bacterial small subunit ribosomal RNA
Source: RNAcentral
UACGUAGGGUGCAAGCGUUGUCCGGAAUUAUUGGGCGUAAAGGGCUCGUAGGCGGUUUGUCGCGUCGGGAGUGAAAACCCCAGGCUUAACUUGGGGCGUGCUUUCGAUACGGGCAGACUUGAGGUAUGCGAGGGGAGAACGGAAUUCCUGGUGUAGCGGUGAAAUGCGCAGAUAUCAGGAGGAACACCGGUGGCGAAGGCGGUUCUCUGGGCAUGACCUGACGCUGAGGAGCGAAAGUGUGGGGAGCAAACAGG